GCCGAGGUGGUGAAAUUGGUAGACACGCUAUCUUGAGGGGGUAGUGGGCAACGCCUGUAAGGGUUCGAGUCCCUUUCUCGGCA
RNAcentral lists this transfer RNA (83 nucleotides) under SAR324 cluster bacterium. RNAcentral's name for it is "tRNA-Leu". It matches the Rfam family "tRNA". Rfam says of the family: Transfer RNA (tRNA) molecules are approximately 80 nucleotides in length. Their secondary structure includes four short double-helical elements and three loops (D, anti-codon, and T loops). The record is from RNAcentral. Lineage: Bacteria; Deltaproteobacteria.